GGGUUGUGAGGUUAAGCGACUAAGCGUACACGGUGGAUGCCCUGGCAGUCAGAGGCGAUGAAGGACGUGCUAAUCUGCGAUAAGCGUCGGUAAGGUGAUAUGAACCGUUAUAACCGGCGAUUUCCGAAUGGGGAAACCCAGUGUGAUUCGUCACACUAUCAUUAACUGAAUCCAUAGGUUAAUGAGGCGAACCGGGGGAACUGAAACAUCUAAGUACCCCGAGGAAAAGAAAUCAACCGAGAUUCCCCCAGUAGCGGCGAGCGAACGGGGAGCAGCCCAGAGCCUGAAUCAGUGUGUGUGUUAGUGGAAGCGUCUGGAAAGGCGCGCGAUACAGGGUGACAGCCCCGUACACAAAAAUGCACAUAUUGUGAGCUCGAUGAGUAGGGCGGGACACGUGGUAUCCUGUCUGAAUAUGGGGGGACCAUCCUCCAAGGCUAAAUACUCCUGACUGACCGAUAGUGAACCAGUACCGUGAGGGAAAGGCGAAAAGAACCCCGGCGAGGGGAGUGAAAAAGAACCUGAAACCGUGUACGUACAAGCAGUGGGAGCACGCUUAGGCGUGUGACUGCGUACCUUUUGUAUAAUGGGUCAGCGACUUAUAUUCUGUAGCAAGGUUAACCGAAUAGGGGAGCCGAAGGGAAACCGAGUCUUAACUGGGCGUUAAGUUGCAGGGUAUAGACCCGAAACCCGGUGAUCUAGCCAUGGGCAGGUUGAAGGUUGGGUAACACUAACUGGAGGACCGAACCGACUAAUGUUGAAAAAUUAGCGGAUGACUUGUGGCUGGGGGUGAAAGGCCAAUCAAACCGGGAGAUAGCUGGUUCUCCCCGAAAGCUAUUUAGGUAGCGCCUCGUGAAUUCAUCUCCGGGGGUAGAGCACUGUUUCGGCAAGGGGGUCAUCCCGACUUACCAACCCGAUGCAAACUGCGAAUACCGGAGAAUGUUAUCACGGGAGACACACGGCGGGUGCUAACGUCCGUCGUGAAGAGGGAAACAACCCAGACCGCCAGCUAAGGUCCCAAAGUCAUGGUUAAGUGGGAAACGAUGUGGGAAGGCCCAGACAGCCAGGAUGUUGGCUUAGAAGCAGCCAUCAUUUAAAGAAAGCGUAAUAGCUCACUGGUCGAGUCGGCCUGCGCGGAAGAUGUAACGGGGCUAAACCAUGCACCGAAGCUGCGGCAGCGACGCUUAUGCGUUGUUGGGUAGGGGAGCGUUCUGUAAGCCUGUGAAGGUGUGCUGUGAGGCAUGCUGGAGGUAUCAGAAGUGCGAAUGCUGACAUAAGUAACGAUAAAGCGGGUGAAAAGCCCGCUCGCCGGAAGACCAAGGGUUCCUGUCCAACGUUAAUCGGGGCAGGGUGAGUCGACCCCUAAGGCGAGGCCGAAAGGCGUAGUCGAUGGGAAACAGGUUAAUAUUCCUGUACUUGGUGUUACUGCGAAGGGGGGACGGAGAAGGCUAUGUUGGCCGGGCGACGGUUGUCCCGGUUUAAGCGUGUAGGCUGGUUUUCCAGGCAAAUCCGGAAAAUCAAGGCUGAGGCGUGAUGACGAGGCACUACGGUGCUGAAGCAACAAAUGCCCUGCUUCCAGGAAAAGCCUCUAAGCAUCAGGUAACAUCAAAUCGUACCCCAAACCGACACAGGUGGUCAGGUAGAGAAUACCAAGGCGCUUGAGAGAACUCGGGUGAAGGAACUAGGCAAAAUGGUGCCGUAACUUCGGGAGAAGGCACGCUGAUAUGUAGGUGAAGCGACUUGCUCGUGGAGCUGAAAUCAGUCGAAGAUACCAGCUGGCUGCAACUGUUUAUUAAAAACACAGCACUGUGCAAACACGAAAGUGGACGUAUACGGUGUGACGCCUGCCCGGUGCCGGAAGGUUAAUUGAUGGGGUCAGCGCAAGCGAAGCUCUUGAUCGAAGCCCCGGUAAACGGCGGCCGUAACUAUAACGGUCCUAAGGUAGCGAAAUUCCUUGUCGGGUAAGUUCCGACCUGCACGAAUGGCGUAAUGAUGGCCAGGCUGUCUCCACCCGAGACUCAGUGAAAUUGAACUCGCUGUGAAGAUGCAGUGUACCCGCGGCAAGACGGAAAGACCCCGUGAACCUUUACUAUAGCUUGACACUGAACAUUGAGCCUUGAUGUGUAGGAUAGGUGGGAGGCUUUGAAGUGUGGACGCCAGUCUGCAUGGAGCCGACCUUGAAAUACCACCCUUUAAUGUUUGAUGUUCUAACGUUGACCCGUAAUCCGGGUUGCGGACAGUGUCUGGUGGGUAGUUUGACUGGGGCGGUCUCCUCCUAAAGAGUAACGGAGGAGCACGAAGGUUGGCUAAUCCUGGUCGGACAUCAGGAGGUUAGUGCAAUGGCAUAAGCCAGCUUGACUGCGAGCGUGACGGCGCGAGCAGGUGCGAAAGCAGGUCAUAGUGAUCCGGUGGUUCUGAAUGGAAGGGCCAUCGCUCAACGGAUAAAAGGUACUCCGGGGAUAACAGGCUGAUACCGCCCAAGAGUUCAUAUCGACGGCGGUGUUUGGCACCUCGAUGUCGGCUCAUCACAUCCUGGGGCUGAAGUAGGUCCCAAGGGUAUGGCUGUUCGCCAUUUAAAGUGGUACGCGAGCUGGGUUUAGAACGUCGUGAGACAGUUCGGUCCCUAUCUGCCGUGGGCGCUGGAGAACUGAGGGGGGCUGCUCCUAGUACGAGAGGACCGGAGUGGACGCAUCACUGGUGUUCGGGUUGUCAUGCCAAUGGCACUGCCCGGUAGCUAAAUGCGGAAGAGAUAAGUGCUGAAAGCAUCUAAGCACGAAACUUGCCCCGAGAUGAGUUCUCCCUGACUCCUUGAGAGUCCUGAAGGAACGUUGAAGACGACGACGUUGAUAGGCCGGGUGUGUAAGCGCAGCGAUGCGUUGAGCUAACCGGUACUAAUGAACCGUGAGGCUUAACCUUACAACGCCGAAG
This 2925-nucleotide ribosomal RNA is filed under the name Escherichia coli. RNAcentral describes it as "partial 23S ribosomal RNA". It matches the Rfam family "Bacterial large subunit ribosomal RNA". The record is from RNAcentral. Lineage: Bacteria; Pseudomonadati; Pseudomonadota; Gammaproteobacteria; Enterobacterales; Enterobacteriaceae.